This 468-nucleotide ribosomal RNA is filed under the name uncultured bacterium. RNAcentral's name for it is "partial 16S ribosomal RNA". It matches the Rfam family "Bacterial small subunit ribosomal RNA", at positions 28 to 507 of the family's 1533-position model. The record is from RNAcentral.
GACGAGCGCUGGCGGCGUGCUUAACACAUGCAAGUCGAACGGAAAGGCCCUGCUUUUGUGGGGUGCUCGAGUGGCGAACGGGUGAGUAACACGCGAGUAACCUGCCCUUGACUUUGGGAUAACUUCAGGAAACUGGGGCUAAUACCGGAUAGGAGCUCCUGCUGCAUGGUGGGGGUUGGAAAGUUUCGGCGGUUGGGGAUGGACUCGCGGCUUAUCAGCUUGUUGGUGGGGUAGUGGCUUACCAAGGCUUUGACGGGUAGCCGGCCUGAGAGGGUGACCGGCCACAUUGGGACUGAGAUACGGCCCAGACUCCUACGGGAGGCAGCAGUGGGGAAUAUUGCACAAUGGGCGGAAGCCUGAUGCAGCAACGCCGCGUGCGGGAUGACGGCCUUCGGGUUGUAAACCGCUUUCGCCUGUGACGAAGCGUGAGUGACGGUAAUGGGUAAAGAAGCACCGGCUAACUACGUG